CUGUGGUGUAGUAAAUUACUGAAUGUUUACAUGCAAUUAGGUGUGUGCCUAUGGAGGAGAAGACACCAGGAAACAGGAUUUUCCUGAGGUAGUUGCUAGUUCAGAGGCCCAGUGCCACUGCAGUAGCUGUUGUCAGGAAGGACUGAGUGGCAGUUCUAAUUACCAGUGUCUACACAGGUUUCUCAUAGGAAGAUACAAGCUGUCACGAUCCCUUGCCAAUCACAUGAGAACUGACCUAGGGAGAACAUCAACCGAAGACAGGAAAUGAGCAUUCCUGCAUGAAUAGGAAGUGCAGGCAACUUGAACUCACAAGAAAGAAAUCAUAAAGUGACUUCUCUCUAUAAAAAGGGGAAGACUUGUGGAAAAGACACCAUUUUUGUGCCUGGCUCAGUGAAAGCUAGAAAGCAAAUCUCUUCACACUCCUUGAGAGAGAAGGUUGUGUCCAGACUUGAAAAUUAAGAUUUAGAAAGUCCCACGGCCUGUCUGAGCUUUACACUGGGAGGAAUACGAGCUGCCUGAGCAGAGGAUGAAUGUUGUCUUGGGUCACCAUCAAGAUCUUGACCUGCCUAACUGAUGUGACUCAGGGAAAGAGGGAAAAGACUGGGAAAAAAGUGCUGGGCACGCAUGCUUUGACUGUGGUCAUCAUAACGAUAAUUGGCUGGUCUUUGUGGAAGCUGGAUUCUUUAUUUCAUAUAAAUAAAAAGUCCACAAGAAUAGCUUCUAAUAUUUGAAGACAAAUGCUGCUGGCAUCUCUGGUGCUAUUUCCUUUUCCCAUCCUGAGCGUGCACGGAGCCAUUCCCAGAGAGUUGGAGCUCUUCCACAAGAUGGUGCCGAGCUCUGUCGCUCACAAGUGGUGCGUAAUUGAAAUACGGCACACAUCCUCCUGGGGAAGGAAGAGGUAAGCCAAGAAAACAGGCCGUGAUAGUCAGAGGUGUUUAAUAUACAAAUAAGAAGUUGUUUCAUAAGUAUCUUAUAAAAACUCCAAUUUACUUCCCAAUAUUUUAGCAGAUUAUCUCAACGAAAACAGCAGAUGUAUUUUGGAGCGACGAGACAAAUGUUUAGUGAAAUUAAAGUUAUUCAUGUGCAGUCACACAGGGAAUAUUUGCAUGAUAUUUUACUAAUUGCUCCAAAAUCUGACUUGUAGCAAAUAAACAAACAUAGGAGAAAAAAUAAGCCAGCAGAAAGAUUAGCCCCAGGCUUCUCUGCCUCUCUUCUAAGUCCUCACAGCCUUUCUUCAACUGCUCAACUUUUUUUUCUCCGGAAGCACAACGUUAUUUCCUAGGGUCCAAUCACUCUUCUCAGGCCCUCCUGGUUUUCCCCCCGCUAUCUAAAUCCCUUCCCAAACGAUCCUAUUUUCAUCUUCCCUUUGAGCCCAAAUUUUCAGCCCAGUUUCUGAGUGAAAGGCAUCCACUGCUGAGCUGGCGUGAGGGAGAAUUUUCUUAAGUGCAGGGAAAACACUUUGCUAUUUCAGCUAACGCAUUUGUGUAGGAUUAACAAUGCAGAAAAAUCUAAUGCCAAAGCAGUGGAGCGCUCAUUGCAGCCAGGAGCUUAGACUGGAGUUCCUUCAACCUUCUGUGAAGAGUUUCAAGUUACAGCAGCAAAAAUCAAGUUGUCAUUGCUGAUUGUUAUGACAUUAUUUUAUGUCAGAUCUGUUUAUUUGCCCUCCUGGAAAAAGAGAAUGUAUUUCAAGACGUCAAAAUAUUUUGUUUGCCUUCAUUCAGUUGCAAGAGAAGCCUAAGGUGAGGUAGGAAAAUGUGCAUUUAUCACAUUUUGAUGUGAUGUAUACAACUAUGUAUUUGUAUAUGCUCUAUACUGAAUGAGGAUGCCAGACAACAAGUUCUGGAAAAUUAGCGAAGGUUGGGAUUAAAAUUGACACGUCCUAUCUAGAAUCUUUAUGGACUGCAGGAGCAUGUGAGCAGAUCACUGGGGGUGUCAAGCCCUCAGUUUCAUGGAAGCACUGUUUUUUGCCCAAGGCGUGGAGUAUCUAGCAACGAUGGGCAUCUGUUGGCUUCUUCCUAUCAGUCACUGUAGGUGGAUAUGAAUUUUUUUUUUUUUUGCAUGACCUCUAGAGCUACAGCUCAAGAGUUGUUGUCCAUGGGGGAGCAGGAGCUCCAAGUUGCCAUUCCUCACAAUUGGUGCAUUUUGGUUUGGCUGAGGCCCAUCAGGUCCUGGUGAACUACCUGUGCUGCACACCUCCUGGCUCCUUCUACGUGGGUAUGCAGAAGCCUUCUUCUCCUGCUGGUCAUGAGCAAAUGGUGAAUGGGGAGUGUUGAGCUUUGGACAUGGGUUAGUGUCAAGGAGUCCAUAAAUCAUGGGAUCAGCCAUACAUCCAAAUGGUUCUUCAGAUACAGUAAUUUUACAGGAUCUUUUAUGUUUUAACUUGCAGUAACACAAAAGGUGACUACUGCAUGUUCUGAACAAAAAGGUAAAACCAAAGGAGAAAACAGCUGUUUUGUUAUGGUUCUCUUUUUCUUUAAAGAGGGUUUUCUAUUUCUGAUGGUUACAUGUUGAACUCGCUUUAUUUGGCCCCUCCCAUUUUCAGGUCACCACAGGAAUAUGUAAAAAGGAAAUGUUUUAUUUUAACAGAGUUGAACAAAGUACACAAAACACACCCUUCCCAUUGCCUAACGUUCCUCAAGUUAAAUUGCAGAGCCCAGCAUAACUUUUCCUCUUGGUCUUUUAUUUCAUUGAAAAGGGCCCAGAAUGUAAUAUUCAUGCAGGAAGCAUAAAUUGUAUUGCUGGAAGCAAUAGCAACCUCGAAGCAAAAUCCCUCAGGAUCACUGUGCUCAGGAGCGUGCAGGCUGCUCCUGGCCCAACAAGUUUCCUCAGUGCCGUGCUUGUGUCUUUACACAGCCUAAGCUAUAGGAUUUCUUUGCUGCAUGGUUUUCCUGACAUUUUGGCCCUCGUAGACAGUUCUUGGUUUCAGGAGUAACUGCUAGACUCUUGCCCAACCAUCCCACUCUGGGCCAUCCCUUUCAGUAUGCAUGAGUAACUCCCACGAAUGUAAAUAAAAGUUAUGUGCACGCAUCAAGGGGAAAUGGAUCCAUUUGUCAUGGCUCCAGACAAGCAGCAUCUCCCCAAGGAGCUACUUACGAGGCUAUUGAGAAGCCAGCAGCAAUGCGUGAUAGGCUGCACCUUCUUCCAUGUGUGUUGCAGAAAUUAUUGGCAUGUUGCUGAUGUUUACGGCGAACAAAUAGUUUAUUUCUGGGCUAAGAAAGAUUCCAGUGUAAAUACUCAACUGGCAGCUAGCUGGAAGUUUGCCACUUGAAGCUAAAAGGCCCAUGACCAAUGGUGUCAGAUUAACAUUUCCAAGUUGGACAAUGUACAAAUGGUGUUCUUGGACUGGAAUAGAAAUAGAUGAAAGUGGUCUGCUGCAGUGCAAAUAACAAACUGGCAACCAGCUGGCCAUUGGAAAGAGAACAUACUAUGGGAAUAUGCUUUCUGCAGAAAUACUUUAUUUUGGAGAUAAGCAUUAACAAUAAGAAGAUGAGGCUCAUUUAACAAGAACCAUAUGGUCUCAUCCUGCUUUUAUUUCACUCAGUAGCAAAGCUCUGAUGAUCUUUUGUGUGUGCAAGAUAGGGAUUGCUGUUAAUAAAUAAGCAAAACAGAUUCAAGGUAGUUGUUUGAAAUUGAAAAGAAACAGUAAUGCCUGAUCUACUGUUGCUUUUUAAAAGGUAUGAAAGGGAUAGUUUUAAUCCACAAAAUGCUAUUUCAGGAGACAGUAACUGAAAGGAAGUGCUAUUAAAGGUGUUUGUUGGAAAACAACUUCUGAUAAAAUCAGGUGAAGAUCCACUCAAGAUUGAGUUAUCAACCCGUGUGAAACCAAUACACAAAUUUCUCCAAGCUGAUUUGUGGCUGGGUUCAUUCCAUAAAAAUGUUUGUAUUUUUGUGGUGAGAAAACAACACCCUUUUUAAAAGUAGUUUUAACUACACAAUUUGUUCUAUUAGCAACUUAAUCAGAGGUAACAGCAUUUCACACUCUUGUUUCAAUGUAAUAGCAAAAUUGAGUGAUGCAAAAAGAAAAAAGCAAUCUGUGGGUACUGCACUGCAAAAUCCUGCUUUGGGAGCUUUUCAAGGAUGUAAAACAUUGUCUAGAGCUUUUUACUUUUAUGGGUAGGAAGUAAAAAAGAAGCAAAGAGGAGAAAUCUCAUUCGUACCACAGUUGGAAAGUUGCAGUAAAAAUGAUAAAACUCAUCACUGCUAACUAAUUUUUAUUUCAUUUAAUUUUUUUAUAGCAGCUGAACUUUGUUGUUUUGGUUGCAAGAAAGCAGCAAGAGGGAAGCUUCAUUUAUCAUAAAGAUAAAUAAAAAAAUAAGAUUUGAACAUGGAAAAAAUGUGCAGAUCUUGUACUCAGCAGUUCACUUCUGCCUUUGGAGAUAAGUACUAAUCCCAUUGAUUUCCAUAUGCCUGAAAACAGCUCAGCAAUAUCAAAAUUGCAUUAUAUUACACAUUUAGAUAUGGAGCAGAAAUGCUGAGUCAUGGCCUGAAGCAGUGAUUGAGCACCUUGUGAGAAGGCAGGGCCAACCCAGGGGAACUCAGGUGUAUGCAAUGUACCUGAGUGACCAGAAGGUGUGGAGCCAGAAUCCUUCCCAGACCUUAUUUAAGGGUUGGCAGUGAAGGAAAGGGGGUUCUGUUGGAGACUUGAGGUCUUCUGAAGGUAAGCAGAUUCUUUCCUUUGUUCUGUGUCCAUUGCUGUUGCAUUUGAACAUAUCCUUACUUGCUGUAUCCUAAGACUUUGCUACUAUGCUGUCA
Phasianus colchicus (ring-necked pheasant) is the source of this 4752-nucleotide non-coding RNA. Lineage: Eukaryota; Metazoa; Chordata; Aves; Galliformes; Phasianidae. The record is from RefSeq and is a predicted model, not a curated record.